AACCUAAAAGGGCAUAUUAAUAUAAGAAAUAACACAAUAUUUCAAUACAAAAAUAUAUCAAAGUGUACUAUAGUUUUACAAACUAAAUUGAAAUGUCAUUCACUUCAACCAUUACGAUUACAAGAAACUUCAAAUCUUGCUUGAACUUCAAAUCACUACAAAAACUUGCUUAAACUUCAAAUCACUAGCAUCCAAACUCAAGAUAGGAUCUGCAACAGUUCAUGAAACUCAGCGGAUUUCACUACGAUAUCACCUGGCUGCAAAGAGAAAUACACAAUAAGCGACUUCAUCCAAACUCAAAACAUGGAUGAAUAUAGCAUACUUGAUGAAUUUAGUACUACCAGCCAGUUAAGUUAUAUGGUGGAAUAAGACAUGUUAGUUGACAAGAAUAUAUUACAACAAUAACAACAUAAUACACAGUGAAAUUUCACAAGCGGGUUUGGGAAAGGUAGAAUAUACGCACAAGUAAUGACUUAUCCCCAGUUACGCUUGUCAGGGAGCAAAAGGAAAACAAUUACUAUUGUUUAUGUCCAGCCAAAUAAUACAACUUACAGAGUUAAGAGCCUGCUCAAGAAAUACAUCAGUAGCUACCUUUUUGUGUAACUCAAACCAAUUGGGUCUGCGAUGGCCACAAGCCACUACUCCCCUGUACUAAUUUUACUUUUUAAUGAAAUGCUUCAUAUUUCCUUACCAAAAAAAAAGUAACAACAAAUGGGUCCUAGUUAGAUAAAGUCUAAAGAUUAAUUCAUUGGGAAAAGAAAUUAAUUAGUAAUAUCUAUAUGGCUAGAUCUCACAUUAGUUGUACACUGAAAUGUACCUCUAAUCCUUAAUUCUUUGAAGUAUCAAAGUUCCAGAGAAAAAGAUUUUACUUACCAAUGCCAACCACCUUGCUAUGCCUAUAUAACAUAAUUAUAGGUGCAGUAAGUUCUCAAGACAAUGUAAAAUAUUCAUUAAACAACACCAACAACUAUAUAAAAGCUAUAACUUGAAAUGUAAAAGUCCAACUAGUGAAUUAGAAAAUACCAGUUACUAUUCAGAUGAUCAAUUAUAAUUUUUUGAAAAGGCACAAUUACUAAAAAUAAUGUGACCUCUCAAAACUGAACAUGAGUCUAAUGAUGCUUAGGAUUGGGUCUGUUGGGAGAAAUUGAAUUUUGCUUGCAAAAAGAGUCCACUGGCCAUCCAAGAUGUAAUCUUGGCAAUAAUCUUGUCCACUAAGGGUUUAAUUGGACUAUUGUAAGCCUUUUAGGUGUCGUUUAAUACAAAGAUUAAUAAUGUAGGGAUUAGUAAUGCAAGGUUCCUUAGUAAAAUUGUUUGGCACACCUAGAUAUUUGAAACAGAGUUCUCCAACCUCAUAUCCAAGCAUAGUCAAGAUGGUUUCCUUAGUAAAUUUGUUAAUACCUUCAAAACAUACCUGACUUUUCAAAAUGAUGGUCUUCAAAUCAGAAGCAUCAGAAAACAUAUUGAAUUUACCCCUCGAUAGUUGUAGUUGUAUAGAUCUGACAUCUCAUCUAGUAAAUAUAGUAAGUCAACAGCAACAAAGUACUGAUUCAAAACUGAUGUCAACAUCUAGAUGGAAAAAAAUGUUUCAUCAAACUUUCUUAGUUGUAAAUCAGCACAACUACAAAGAAAAAAGACAUUCUUGCAACUCUUCCAAAUCUGUUUGGGUUAAAGGAAUUUUGCAUUUAACUAUCAUUCCAUCUUCACUAACUAUCUAAAGGACAAAAUCAAAUAAAAAAAUACAAUAAACUCACAAGAUUUGUAGAGCGUCGCAGAACUUGAGCGAGUUGUGCAUGACUGCUUAUAAGAGCUUUUAUCUUCUUCAACAAUGCAGCCACAAAUAUUGACACUAUAGCACGAAAAAAUAGUGCAAACUGUCUUAAAGAAAGAUCUCAUCAGAAAAAUGAGAACCAAAUUUAAAAAGAAUAGCUGAAAAGUAGAUGAAACUUACGGAAAUAGCUGGGAAUAUAGACGAAAUCAGGUUCAGUAAUGUGGGAGGAGAUAGUGGUGGGAGUGACGUCUUUGGGAUCGGUGGCAAAAGGGAUGGUUGGGUUUGGGGACAAUUCCAGUUGUUGGGGAUGAUCGUAACAUGUAUACUCAAUAUACUCGAUAUGGUUAGUCAAUCGAUAAAGUGAAACAACCUUAUGGUGCUACUUCUAAUCCUACACAGGCUGAUGACGCGACAAGAAAGAACAGUUCAUCAUCAAACAAGUUGAAAACACCACAUUUCUCCAAUAUCACCACCUUAUAACAUAGAAACAAAUAUCAUAUCUCUCAAAUUUACCAGAUUCACUUACAACUAACAAAAAUCAAUUAAGAAGUUAAUCUAUCCAACCAAAAAAUCAAUUACUAGCAAGUUAUUCUCUAUGUAAACCUUAUUUAAUUAGAUUAUCCAUAUUGAAACCCUAAAGAAUCGAAGUUUAGGGGAAAUCCAAAAAGUACAAUAGUUAUAAACCUUAGAAAGAGCUGAAGCUUCUCCAUGGUGCAGGACGUAGGGCAACGAGCCUAUUGGAGCAUUCUUUUACUCCAAAAUCGGCGAAGAUAUUGCAGAUUUUCUGAAACUAAAAUAGAUUCAAAAUACAAAUCUCAAAACUUUUUACAAACAAUUUGAAGUUGAGAAAAAAAAAAUCAGUUGAUUUAUAGAUUGAAAAUGCAUGAAAAUGAGGAAAAGAGAACUCAUUUUUGAAGCUUUCGAUGUCUAAAUUAAGGAGCAAUUGUUAAAUAGAGAGAAAUUGGGAAGUAAGAGAGGAGAAGAGAAGUAUGAACCAACGAUACCGCCAAUCGCCACCGCCGCCUCCAUCUUUUCCUACUCCGACCACUGUUAUUGUGGAUGAAGACAGUGAUAGCUCCGCCACCAUGGAUUCGCCACCGUGCCGCCUCCAUCACUUCCUACUCCAACCCUAAUUAUCAUAUGAAAAUUGAUCAGUUCGGGAUCGCAGAAAAUAGAAUGAAACUUUUUUUUAUUUGGGGAUUAAAUGAGCAACGAUAUAAAAUUUUAUUUUUUAGGAUAGCGGCGGGUAAUAACCCCACAAAUUCUACUAAAAUUAUAGGGGUUAAUCAAAC
RNAcentral lists this long non-coding RNA (3060 nucleotides) under Solanum tuberosum (potato). RNAcentral's name for it is "long non-coding RNA (STUB_LNC009495)". Lineage: Eukaryota; Viridiplantae; Streptophyta; Magnoliopsida; Solanales; Solanaceae. The record is from RNAcentral.